Epinephelus fuscoguttatus (brown-marbled grouper) is the source of this 859-nucleotide non-coding RNA. NCBI's taxonomy places the organism in Eukaryota, Metazoa, Chordata, Actinopteri, Perciformes, Serranidae. The record is from the annotation of a RefSeq genome assembly.
GAGGAGUUCAGAGGAGGGGAGUGGUGAGGAAGUGGAGCCCGAGUGCUGGUGAAUUUUAUUGAUUUUGUCAUUGAAAAACCAGAGGAGGGACUCACAGGUGUCUGAGGAGUACAUGUGGGGGGUAGGGAGUCCGGGGGUUGAAUGAUUCUGUUAUAAACGGAGACAAAUAGCUCAUAGACAUUUGUAGACAUGAUGUUAGUAAAAGAUUUAAAUCCAAAGUCUUAGCACUGACACAUCAUUAGUUAAUAACCAGUCAGAGCAUUUCCAUAGAGAGCCACUUUGCAUCAGCAGCACCAUGCUCCAGUGCUCUGGGAGAGUUUAUAGUCCUGAGAGUUGAACACUGGAUGACUGACAGCUGUCCUUCAUGACAACAGAAGCCACAGAAAUCCUCCUCUUCAUCAAAAACAUGACUUUGACCUCCGUCCUCAUCUGGACUCUCCUCUGCUUCACUCAGGGGUCUGUUGGACAAAAUGUUGUCUUGACUCAACCAGCAGCCAAAUCAGUGCAGCUGGGUCAGACUGUUUCUAUUGACUGUAAGGCCAAUCCAAAAGUUGCUCUCUACUCUAGAUCACAGUAUUACCUGGCCUGGUACCAACAGAAAACUGGAGAAGCUCCUAAACUUCUGAUCUACAGAACAUCAACCAGAUUUUCUGGAAUCGCCUCCAGAUUCAGUGGAAGUGGAGCAGGAAAUGGAGUUGACUUCACUCUGACCAUCAGUGGAGUUCAGGCUGAAGAUGCAGCAGUUUACUACUGUCAGAGUUAUCACUAUAUCAACAGUCAGCAUGUGUUCACACGCAGUGUGUUCACAAAGCGUCGUACAAAAACCUCCCUCAGUCAGACUGAACAGAAACUGAAGUGA